This 107-nucleotide small RNA is filed under the name Idiomarina aquatica. RNAcentral's name for it is "t44 RNA". It matches the Rfam family "t44 RNA". Rfam says of the family: This family consists of a number of bacterial RNA genes of between 135 and 170 bases in length. Lineage: Bacteria; Pseudomonadati; Pseudomonadota; Gammaproteobacteria; Alteromonadales; Idiomarinaceae. The record is from RNAcentral.
ACAUUUAUUAAUUAACUUAAACCACACAUAUACCGGCACGUAAUACGGGGUGCUCUGCAAACCAACAGGUUUCAGGGUCGUGUUAUGGGGUAUAUGGAGGCUUAACC